GACGAACGCUGGCGGCGUGCUUAACACAUGCAAGUCGAACGGAAAGGCCCUGCUUUUGUGGGGUGCUCGAGUGGCGAACGGGUGAGUAACACGUGAGUAACCUGCCCUUGACUUUGGGAUAACUUCAGGAAACUGGGGCUAAUACCGGAUAGGAGCUCCUGCUGCAUGGUGGGGGUUGGAAAGUUUCGGCGGUUGGGGAUGGACUCGCGGCUUAUCAGCUUGUUGGUGGGGUAGUGGCUUACCAAGGCUUUGACGGGUAGCCGGCCUGGGAGGGUGACCGGCCCCAUUGGGACUGAGAAACGGCCCAGACUCCUACGGGAGGCAGCAGUGGGGAAUAUUGCACAAUGGGCGGAAGCCUGAUGCAGCAACGCCGCGUGCGGGAUGACGGCCUUCGGGUGGUAAAGCGCUUUCGCCUGUGACGAAGCGUGAGUGACGGUAAUGGGUAAAGAAGCACCGGCUAACUACGG
This 467-nucleotide ribosomal RNA is filed under the name uncultured bacterium. RNAcentral describes it as "partial 16S ribosomal RNA". It matches the Rfam family "Bacterial small subunit ribosomal RNA", at positions 28 to 506 of the family's 1533-position model. The record is from RNAcentral.